UUUAUUUGGAAUAUAGCUGCAAAUGAAAGGAUCUAUACAUAUAUCGGGAAAGUGACACUUAUUUAGAGAUAGAUUAUCAUUUGAACUUGCAUCGUGAAAUGGAACGUGAUAUAAAAUCGUGACUCGUGUUACUCUUGCUGUGGAUUGAUCCCGUUAUAGAAAAUUGUUACAAAUGCACCGUUACAUUAGACAAUCUUUUUGAAUACUAGAGCGUAGUUUUAAUAAAAAAAAUAAAAAGUCGGCACGUUAGAAACUUUGAGGUGUAAGGUGUACUCGGGUAAUUCCGAACGUCGAAAACCGUCGGAAAAUUCCGAAAUUCAAAUGAUAAUCACCCGUGAUUCCAUAGUAAUAAGGGUCCCUUUUCGGAAUUUGCCGACGGUUUUCGACGUUCGGAAUUACCCGAGUACACCUUACUAAAAGUUAUUAAAAAAUUGUAAUGCGCGCACGGUAGAUAAUAAUGUGUGGGUUUCCAUCGAGGAAGGGUUCUUAUUCUUCAUGUGAAAUAAAUACUAUUUUUUAAAAAUUUCUGUCGAAAUAUUAGAUAAAAAGGAUACUAUUUAACUUAAAGUUUAAAAACCCUUUUGAGAUAGAAAGCCACAAGCAUUCAGGCUCUAAAUGUCUAAAUUAGUAACUUAACGGUGUUAUCGUAUAUUUGUAGCUGAAAGUCGAAAAGCACGUCAGGUAAUAUUAAUCGAAUGUCAAGGUAGCAUUGUAGAGUGCAGUCCAAAUUGAAUUUUACCGUUUACAAAAAUAACCUCAAGAUUUUCAUUUAUAGUUGUAUCGUUAAAGGAUAUCUCAUUUGUGACGUUAUCUGAGUAAAGGGACCUUAUUUUCGAUGGCGCUUACGUCCCUCGGCGUCGUAUUUGUACACGAACAUCGCUCAUAAUGCCGUAAGCGCCAUCGACACUAAGGUCCCUUUACCCAGAUAAUGUCACAUUUGAACAUGCUCACUGAUUUAAAUAUUAAGACAGCACCUACAUUGCAACUAAGUUUUCCUCAACGUUCUGUUUCCUUUAAAUUAUUUUUUUAGUGGAAUCUAACGUGCGAACUAUAUAAAUAAAUAAAUAAUUAGUUAAGUAUUUAUGGGGUUACUAUAGUACGUGUAAUUGUUCUAAUGUCGGAUGUGGAUAAGUGCUUUAGAAUUUCUAAUAUUCUACUAGAUAAUUCUUUGAACACAAUUUUCCAGAGUUGUCUAGUAGAAUGUAAGAGGUCUGUUAUUUAAAUUUUUGACUUAUGGUGCAGAAGUUAGAUACUUUUUUAUUUCGCCGUUCGCAGUUUAAAUAAAAUUAUUAAAUUGGUAGUUUACUUUCAAAAUUCCGAACGCAUUUGCUAAUAAAUAAUGGUUUUUAAUAUAAUUGUAUUCUUUGUGAUUUUAAGCUUGAAAUUAAACACGCAUUUUUAAAUCCACUGCCGAAUUUAUGUACAUUUCGUAAAUUAUAUUCUAAUAAUUUUAUUUAGAACGCGAACGGUAUCUACUGUCCAUUCCAGAAAUCAAAGUUGUUGGAAAAAUGAAUUUUUAUUUUUAAAUAACUUAUUGAAGAAAAAUAUUAACAUAAGUAACUCACAAUCGUCAUAUUUUCUUAUGAAGAAAAUUGUUUACUUGGGUGUUUGGACAAAAAAUGUAUUUAGAGUAUUUUGUUUAAUAUUUUAUAUUAGUCAGCACAUAACCUUGUGGUGAAAUAAUUCAUAAUUUAAACUACCGAACAAAACUGGACUUUUAAUCGUUUUAUAAAAUAAUUCAUUUUAUAUUCAUUGCCAUUUAUUUGUGCAAACAACUCAAGAAUGUAUUUUAUAAGUACAACGCUUAGAUCUGAUGCUAAGGUAAAAUGUUUUUAUGCAGUAAGUUUUUCAAUAAACUAUGACACUGUA
Molecule: long non-coding RNA, 1869 nt
Organism: Leguminivora glycinivorella
Lineage: Eukaryota; Metazoa; Arthropoda; Insecta; Lepidoptera; Tortricidae
Exons: 2
Source: RefSeq, a predicted model, not a curated record